Molecule: ribosomal RNA, 253 nt
Filed under: uncultured bacterium
Lineage: Bacteria
Description: partial 16S ribosomal RNA
Rfam family: Bacterial small subunit ribosomal RNA
Source: RNAcentral
UACGAAGGGGGCUAGCGUUGCUCGGAAUCACUGGGCGUAAAGCGCACGUAGGCGGAUCGCUAAGUCAGGGGUGAAAUCCUGAAGCUCAACUCCAGAACUGCCUUUGAUACUGGCAAUCUCGAGUCCGGGAGAGGUGAGUGGAACUGCGAGUGUAGAGGUGAAAUUCGUAGAUAUUCGCAAGAACACCAGUGGCGAAGGCGGCUCACUGGCCCGGUACUGACGCUGAGGUGCGAAAGCGUGGGGAGCAAACAGG